AAGUCGUAACAAGGUUUCCGUAGGUGAACCUGCGGAAGGAUCAUUAACACGUAUCCAACGUUAAACCCCCCUGUGAACCUUCAACAGUACUCUUGCAUCGCUGGCCACGACGCCGGCCGGUGAUCGGCCUACAGCAUCCGUAAAGCGUUAUCCUUGCACAAUCAGUGACACUGACAGAACACCGAUUGCUUGGGGAAGCUAGGCCACUUUAACUUGCGCUCGACAUCACAUCUUUUUGGGCAGAGGUCCUGAAUCAAUAACUUUCCGGGACUGAUUUACCAGGAUUGCUGUUCCAUAGGGCCUAACCGGCCCCUUACAAAACAACCAGUAGUUAGCGAUUACUCCACGACAUAGUCAAGUGGCGCCGUCCUGGAGUUUAACGAACAACUGUUAACAAUGGAUAUCUUGGUUCUC
Molecule: unclassified non-coding RNA, 414 nt
Filed under: fungal sp.
Lineage: Eukaryota; Fungi
Description: partial internal transcribed spacer region
Rfam family: Eukaryotic small subunit ribosomal RNA (bases 1-46)
Source: RNAcentral